RNAcentral lists this ribosomal RNA (421 nucleotides) under uncultured bacterium. Its description in RNAcentral is "bacterial SSU rRNA". It matches the Rfam family "Bacterial small subunit ribosomal RNA", at positions 31 to 497 of the family's 1533-position model. The record is from RNAcentral.
GUACGCUGGCGGCACGCCUAACACAUGCAAGUCGAACGAAGUAGCAAUACUUAGUGGCAGACGGGUGAGUAACAUGUGGGUAUCUACCCUUUGGCCUGGAAUAACACGAGGAAACUUGUGCUAAUACCGGAUAAGUCUUUACGGAGAAAGCUUUAUGCACCAUUGGAUGAGCCUGCACUUGAUUAGUUUGUUGGUAGGGUAAUGGCCUACCAAGACUAUGAUCAAUAGCUGAUUUGAGAGGAUGAUCAGCCACAUUGGGACUGAGACACGGCCCAAACUCCUACGGGAGGCAGCAGUGGGGAAUCUUGCACAAUGGAGGAAACUCUGAUGCAGCGAUGCCGCGUGAGUGAAGAAGGCCCUUGGGUUGUAAAGCUCUUUCGUCGGGGAAGAAAAUGACUGUACCCGAAUAAGAAGGUCCGGC